RNAcentral lists this ribosomal RNA (497 nucleotides) under uncultured bacterium. RNAcentral describes it as "partial 16S ribosomal RNA". It matches the Rfam family "Bacterial small subunit ribosomal RNA", at positions 28 to 507 of the family's 1533-position model. The record is from RNAcentral.
GAUGAACGCUGGCGGCGUGCCUAAUACAUGCAAGUCGAGCGAACGGACGAGAAGCUUGCUUCUCUGAUGUUAGCGGCGGACGGGUGAGUAACACGUGGAUAACCUACCUAUAAGACUGGGAUAACUUCGGGAAACCGGAGCUAAUACCGGAUGAUAUUUUGAACCGCAUGGUUCAAAAGUGAAAGACGGCCUUGCUGUCACUUAUAGAUGGAUCCGCGCUGCAUUAGCUAGUUGGUAAGGUAACGGCUUACCAAGGCAACGAUGCAUAGCCGACCUGAGAGGGUGAUCGGCCACACCGGAACUGAGACACGGUCCAGACUCCUACGGGAGGCAGCAGUAGGGAAUCUUCCGCAAUGGGCGAAAGCCUGACGGAGCAACGCCGCGUGAGUGAUGAAGGUCUUCGGAUCGUAAAACUCUGUUAUUAGGGAAGAACAUAUGUGUAAGUAACUGUGCACAUCUUGACGGUACCUAAUCAGAAAGCCACGGCUAACUACGUG